GCGCCCGCCCUGAUCCCCCUGGGGCUGAGGGCCCGGGGAACUUCAAAUAAUGAAAAUAAGAGUGUGCCGACCCUGUACCGCAACCAACGCGGACUAGGGAGUACACGUCAAAUAUUCGUACUUAAAUAUUAGCUGUAAAGCACAGUUUGUAUUUGUCGUUAUGGCUAAACCGAGAGGUUUAUGCUGAGAGGUGGAAAACAGCAUGACUCUUGUCAGGGAGAAACAGGCACCUUUAAGCGAAGCCUCCCGUGUGUAUUGCUGGUGGAAAAUACAUUUAUCUGAUCGGCUGUGAGCAGUUUUGCCUCUCUUUUGCUAUGAAAAAGACAUGGCUUACUAUGGGAAUACAAAAUGUGAUGUAUUGCAGAAAAUCAAAUAAUGAGACUGCAGGAUAACUUCUUUUAAAAUCUGUUGACUUUACUAUGUUUUAAUCUCUAUGAAAUAAACUUUCUCUUGCUCUAUAAACCACAUUGCUUAUCAGAUGGUAACUCCAAUUAUUAUCCAAACUCAGUACAGGGGAGCUCCAAGGGAACCAUGCAGAACAAAAUGGGGAAAAUGAAAAGAUGUGAGGACAUCCCACCGUACACCUACUCAACAUUUAAAGGCUAAAUCCUCUUAGUAAAUGUCAGUCUUUUCAGGAGAAUCACAUUUCCCCUGUGAUUUACUUAGUGUCUGCUGUGUGCUGCACAUGCACAUCAAUUGGUCCAUUUCUUACUGCCAAUCACUACUUUAUUACUGCACAAAUAAACAUCCAUUGCUGACGGGGAUGUUUUUGGGCUGGCUGCUACAAAGAAGGAUGUCACAUGGCAGAGUGGGAACACCCCUAGGACAUGUCCCUGGUGCUUCGUAUGAGUUUUAGCAUUGGAGGAUGUCUGUAUUUGUGACCAGGCUUUACCCCUCUCUUACACAGUAUCAGAAGACAGCAUCUUAAGGGGCAUUUCUGGCUGUCCUCACAUUCUGCAGCAGAAGGGUUCAGUUAUGUCACAUUUCAUCCAUGAUUUAUACUUUUUGCCUCUAUCCACUUUCCCCCUCCUCUUAAUUCUUUAUUUUAUUUUUUGUGUUUUUCUCAAAUGGUCUUUGUUUAAAUGUUAAGAGUCUAUUUUCAUAUUAGUGUGUUAAUAUUUUCAAUAUCUGUUUAUUUUGCUGCAGAACACUCCAAAUGACCUGGCAAAAAAAGUAGCAGCAUUUAUAAAUAUAGCCAUUACUUUAAUUAUUCUGAUUUUUAACUUGCAGUGUAUUUUUAUGUGACUCAGGAGAUUAAAACAGAAAACAUUCCAGGCCACACUUAAUGA
Passer domesticus (house sparrow) is the source of this 1289-nucleotide long non-coding RNA. RefSeq lists it as uncharacterized. Lineage: Eukaryota; Metazoa; Chordata; Aves; Passeriformes; Passeridae. The transcript has 3 exons. The record is from RefSeq and is a predicted model, not a curated record.